RNAcentral lists this transfer RNA (363 nucleotides) under uncultured Microcystis sp. Its description in RNAcentral is "partial 16S-23S ribosomal RNA intergenic spacer". The stretch from base 135 to 208 matches the Rfam family "tRNA". Lineage: Bacteria; Bacillati; Cyanobacteriota; Cyanophyceae; Chroococcales; Microcystaceae. The record is from RNAcentral.
AAGGGAGACCUAAUUCAGGUAGGAGACGAAAAAAAAGUAGUCGCUACCAAGAAUCAAUCCCAAAAGGUCGGAGCGAGGCGAAAUUGGCUUUCAAACUAGGUUCUGGGUUCACACAAGACCUGAAUCAGGAACAAGGGCUAUUAGCUCAGGUGGUUAGAGCGCACCCCUGAUAAGGGUGAGGCCCCUGGUUCGAGUCCAGGAUGGCCCACCUGUACAGGUGGCAAAAAGAAAGAAAAGAAGCGAGGAAUCAGCACCUUAUCUUACUGACAUAGUAAGAGAGAAUGCUGGCUCUGAGUAAAGAGUCCAGAGGAACCUUGAAAACUGCAUAGAGCUAGGUGAAAAAGCCAAAAAAGAAGACCGCAA